UAGAAUUAAACUAUUAUAAUUAAAUACUCAUAGGAAAUUAAUAUAUCUAGCCACGACGAGGCCGGGUGUUCUGGUCGUGCCGGAGAUGACUAUUUUCAGGAAGCAAAUGAUUAUUUCAAUUACCUGGACGAAUGCACGUUGGGGACUCACGGUGGAAGUGAGACCAACCCUGACACCGAUGCUGGCACCGGCACUGACAC
This 200-nucleotide long non-coding RNA is filed under the name Hordeum vulgare. RNAcentral's name for it is "long non-coding RNA (HVUL_LNC009649)". The record is from RNAcentral. Lineage: Eukaryota; Viridiplantae; Streptophyta; Magnoliopsida; Poales; Poaceae.